UUGUUGGUAAGGUAAAAGCUUACCAAGGCUUCGAUCAGUAGCUGGUCUGAGAGGACGACCAGCCACACUGGGACUGAGACACGGCCCAGACUCCUACGGGAGGCAGCAGUGGGGAAUUUUGGACAAUGGGGGCAACCCUGAUCCAGCCAUGCCGCGUGAGUGAAGAAGGCCUUCGGGUUGUAAAGCUCUUUCAGCCGGAACGAAACGGUUACGGUUAAUACCCGUGACUACUGACGGUACCGGAAGAAGAAGCACCGGCUAACUACGUGCCAGCAGCCGCGGUAAUACGUAGGGUGCGAGCGUUAAUCGGAAUUACUGGGCGUAAAGCGUGCGCAGGUGGUUUUGUAAGUCAGAUGUGAAAGCCCCGGGCUCAACCUGGGAACUGCGUUUGAAACUACAAGACUAGAGUGUGGCAGAGGGGGGUGGAAUUCCGCGUGUAGCAGUGAAAUGCGUAGAGAUGUGGAGGAACACCGAUGGCGAAGGCAGCCCCCUGGGUCAACACUGACGCUCAGGCACGAAAGCAUGGGGAGCAAACAGGAUUAGAUACCCUGGUAGUCCAUGCCCUAAACGAUGUCAACUAGUUGUCGGGCCUUUACGGGCUUGGUAACGUAGCUAACGCGUGAAGUUGACCGCCUGGGGAGUACGAUCGCAAGAUUAAAACUCAAAUGAAUUGACGGGGACCCGCACAAGCGGUGGAUUAUGUGGAUUAAUUCGAUGCAACGCGAAAAACCUUACCUACCCUUGACAUGUAUCGAAGCCCGCAGAAAAGCGGGGGUGCCCGAAAGGGAACGAUAACACAGGUGCUGCAUGGCUGUCGUCAGCUCGUGUCGUGAGAUGUUGGGUUAAGUCCCGCAACGAGCGCAACCCUUGUCAUUAAUUGCCAUCACUUAGUUGGGCACUUUAAUGAGACUGCCGG
RNAcentral lists this ribosomal RNA (916 nucleotides) under uncultured bacterium. Its description in RNAcentral is "bacterial SSU rRNA". It matches the Rfam family "Bacterial small subunit ribosomal RNA", at positions 246 to 1155 of the family's 1533-position model. The record is from RNAcentral.